UCUAUAAGGGGGUAUGAUGCACAAAAGUUUUUGAUACUUUGAGAAAUAGUUUAAUUCUAUUAAAUAU
This 67-nucleotide transfer RNA is filed under the name Drosophila melanogaster (fruit fly). RNAcentral describes it as "tRNA-Gln". Lineage: Eukaryota; Metazoa; Arthropoda; Insecta; Diptera; Drosophilidae. The record is from RNAcentral.